UACAGAGGGUGCAAGCGAUAUUCGGAAUCACUGGGCGUAAAGCGCAUGUAGGCGGUUUGAUAAGUCUGAUGUGAAAACCCUGGGUACAACUCAGGAAGUGCAUCGGAUACUGUCAGGCUAGAGAGCGGGAGGGGGGAAUGGAAUUCCAGGUGUAGAGGUGAAAUUCGUAGAUAUCUGGAGGAACAACAGUGGCGAAGGCGAUUCCCUGGACCGUUACUGACGUCGAGAGGCGAAAGCGUGUGGAGCAAACAGG
RNAcentral lists this ribosomal RNA (253 nucleotides) under uncultured bacterium. RNAcentral describes it as "partial 16S ribosomal RNA". It matches the Rfam family "Bacterial small subunit ribosomal RNA", at positions 524 to 776 of the family's 1533-position model. The record is from RNAcentral.